UCCCCGGGGCAACUCGGGGGGAAGUGGCGAAAGGGGCAGUAAGGCAUGGCUAACCUACCCCGGGGACGGGGAUAGCCUUCCUAACGGAAGGGUAAUACCCGGCGAUGUGGCGAGGGGGCAUCUCUUUGCCAUGAAAUGAGUUUCGCCUCGGGAGGGGGUCAUGUGCUAUUAGCUUGUUGGCGGGGUAACGGCCCACCAAGGCGAAGAUGGCUAGCGGGUGUGAGAGCACGACCCGCGCCACUGGCACUGCGACACUGGCCAGACUCCUACGGGAGGCUGCAGUCGAGGAUCUUCGGCAAUGGGCGCAAGCCUGACCGAGCGACGCCGCGUGCGCGAUGAAGGCCUUCGGGUUGUAAAGCGCUGUCGAGGGGGAGGAAGACCCGCAAGGGUUUGACCUAUCCCUGGAGGAAGCACGGGCUAAGUUCGUGCCAGCAGCCGCGGUAAGACGAACCGUGCGAACGUUGUUCGGAUUCACUGGGCUUAAAGGGCGCGUAGGCGGCUUGUCAAGUCAGGGGUGAAAUCUUUCGGCUCAGCCGGAAAACGGCUCCUGAUACUGGCAGGCUUGAGGGAGGUAGGGGCAGAUGGAACUUCCGGUGGAGCGGUGAAAUGCGUAGAUAUCGGAAGGAACGCCGGUGGCGAAAGCGAUCUGCUGGAUCUCUUCUGACGCUGAGGCGCGAAAGCCAGGGGAGCAAACGGGAUUAGAUACCCCGGUAGUCCUGGCCCUAAACGAUGGGUAUUAGGUAGUGGACUUGACAUGGGUUCACUGCCGAAGCAAAAGUGAUAAGUACCCCGCCUGGGGAGUAUGGU
RNAcentral lists this ribosomal RNA (807 nucleotides) under uncultured Planctomycetota bacterium. RNAcentral's name for it is "bacterial SSU rRNA". It matches the Rfam family "Bacterial small subunit ribosomal RNA", at positions 71 to 886 of the family's 1533-position model. The record is from RNAcentral. Lineage: Bacteria; Pseudomonadati; Planctomycetota.